UUCCUAAUUCAUAUACCGUCAGUUUUAUUCUACCCACGCUCUGGACGGGAUUCUCGCGAGAUACGCCGCCACUACGCCGGCUCGUCGCCCCGCUCAGUGGCGUCUCUGGAUCCAUCGCCGGCCCGCCAAGCCGUUAGAUCAGCCGUUGUUGGUUCACCGGCGCAUCGUCCCGCUCCCUCGCAGAGAUAAUCUCGCUCCUCACCCUCCCGAUCUCCUCGCUCCUCCUGAAUCCGAUCCAAUCCCUGAAACGAACUCCAAACCUAUCGCCCGACAAGGCCGGCGGCGUUAUUCCCCUUCCGCGCCACUAACGAUUCCAGUGGCACCCUACUCCCUUCCGCGCCGCCAGCGCCUUUGACCCCUCCUUCCUCCAAUUCGCCCGCAUCGCUCUCGAUCUCCUUGGGUCUAGAACGAAAACCAGAUGCGCUCGCGCACCCGUGGACGACGACCGCGUAACACCUCGUGGGUGACCUCCGCUACGUCGCCGCUGCCCGCGCUGCCCGCUGGGAGGGGAGCGUGGACGCCAGGAAGGCCGCUGCCGCGGCGCAGGCGACGCGCUCUCGACGGCCAGGCGCCUCAUCCCUGCCUGCCGAAACUAGCAGCAGACACCAUCUCAAUCCACCCACGCCUCCUCCUGGUCUUCCCACUCGGCCUGAUCUUACCACAGUGAUCUGUUUCGAUCUCUUCUGCUUCGUUUUGAUAUGGGUCUCUGCAUCGGCCGGAUCAAGAGAUGGGCAAGGACGCUGCGCUCCAUGGGAAGCUAGCGGAGCUGAGCGCUAAAUCCAGUCAUGGAGCCUCACCUUUGUUAAGGUAAGCAGCGCGUUCAAAGCUGUGAAUUUGCGGAGCGUGGGUUGGAUUACUCAAUCAGAUUGUGGUGGGUUGGGUUUGGUCGCGAUCGGAAGGAAUUGCAGAGACACAUCCGGGCGCAGUUCGAUGUGGCCGUGGCGGCGAAUGCUUUGUCGAAGGGCACGGAGGGCAGCAGCUAUCCGCUGUCACAGCGUGCGACAGAGAGGGGCAGUCCAGGCUCAUGGGGUUGGACCUUCUGAACGAGCUUAACCCCAGUGUUGGCCGAGAAGACUAGGCUGCACUGAAUCUUCAUGGACAAUUCUGGCUGCAGAUGUCAUGCAUAAGUGCAUCGCACCGGCCGAGCAGCUGUUCGACGCAGCGAAGCGGAGCUCGAGUGGCAGAGCAGCUACAUGUGGCGCCUGUAAGUUGUUCUAUGGAAUUCCCUGCUUCACUACUGUCUGUCUGAGCAUAUCGCAGCUGCUGCCAUCCUGGCGAAAAACAAUACAGUUCAGACAUUGUCCAAUGGUGUGGUUCAAAGAACACAGUUUUGGCCACUAACUGGUUGACGUAAUGCCAAGAACGCAUUGGAGAUGCAUGGAUUCAUGCAGGGCUGCCUACUUGUGUUGGGUGGGAUAAGCUCAAUACGUUGUUCCAGAAACAUGGUGUGAGUAUCGUGUUCGAGCUGAAUGCGCUGAACGGUUUGGUUGAACGGAUGGGAGGGCUGUGGGAUUACACCAAUCCAACAUUACUAACAUGUUAUACUGCGAACAAAGGCUACAGAUUCAAUGGAUGGGAGCUUGGAUUGUAUGGAUGCCACAGGGAUAAAUCGGAUAGUUUAUUGAGACAAACAAGAUUGCUGGGCACAAAGCAAGGUGCCACCUUCUAAGACUCAUCAGGAAACAUGCUACACAAAAUAUUUAGGCCCGGAAUGUAACAUGUCAAACUGAAAGACAUAAAAAGACUUAAAAUAAACCAUAAAAUAGUUAUCAGCAGUUAUAUAUCCUGACCUUCU
Long non-coding RNA from Phragmites australis (common reed), 1795 nucleotides. RefSeq lists it as uncharacterized. Lineage: Eukaryota; Viridiplantae; Streptophyta; Magnoliopsida; Poales; Poaceae. The record is from RefSeq and is a predicted model, not a curated record. The transcript is spliced from 5 exons.